CCUACGGGGGGCAGCAGUGGGGGAUAUUGCACAAUGGGGGGAACCCUGAUGCAGCGACGCCGCGUGGGUGAAGGAGCGUUUCGGCGCGUAAAGCCCUAUCGGCAGGGAAGAAGAUGACGGUACCUGACCAAGAAGCCCCGGCUAACUACGUGCCAGCAGCCGCGGUAAUACGUAGGGGGCAAGCGUUAUCCGGAUUUACUGGGUGUAAAGGGGGCGCAGACGGCAAUGCAAGCCAGGAGUGAAAGCCCGGGGCCCAACCCCGGGACUGCUCUUGGAACUGCAUGGCUGGAGUACAGGAGGGGCAGGCGGAAUUCCUAGUGUAGCGGUGAAAUCCGUAGAGAUCAAGAGGAAUACUCAUUGCGAAGGCGACCUGCUAGAACAUAACUGACGCUGAUGCGCGAAAGCGUGGGGAGCAAACAGGAUUAGAUACCCGAGUAGUC
This 440-nucleotide ribosomal RNA is filed under the name uncultured bacterium. RNAcentral's name for it is "partial 16S ribosomal RNA". It matches the Rfam family "Bacterial small subunit ribosomal RNA", at positions 338 to 795 of the family's 1533-position model. The record is from RNAcentral.